RNAcentral lists this ribosomal RNA (467 nucleotides) under uncultured bacterium. RNAcentral's name for it is "partial 16S ribosomal RNA". It matches the Rfam family "Bacterial small subunit ribosomal RNA", at positions 28 to 507 of the family's 1533-position model. The record is from RNAcentral.
GACGAACGCUGGCGGCGUGCUUAACACAUGCAAGUCGAACGGAAAGGCCUCUUUCGGGGGGUACUCGAGUGGCGAACGGGUGAGUAACACGUGAGUAACCUGCCCUUGACUUUGGGAUCACUUCAGGAAACUGGGGCUAAUACCGGAUAGGAGCUCCUGCUGCAUGGUGGGGGUUGGAACGUUUCGGCGGUUGGGGAUGGACUCGCGGCUUAUCAGCUUGUUGGUGGGGUAGUGGCUUACCAAGGCUUUGACGGGUAGCCGGCCUGGGAGGGUGACCGGCCACAAUGGGUCUGAGAUACGGCCCAGACUCCUACGGGAGGCAGCAGUGGGGAAUAGUGCACAAUGGGUGGAAGCCUGAUGCAACAACGCCGAGUGCGGGAUGACGGCCUUCGGGUUGUAAACCGCUUUCGCUCAUGACGAAGCUUUGUGUGACGGUAGUGGGUAAAGGAGCACCGGCUAACUACGUG